Long non-coding RNA from Salmo salar (Atlantic salmon), 737 nucleotides. RefSeq lists it as uncharacterized. The record is from RefSeq and is a predicted model, not a curated record. NCBI's taxonomy places the organism in Eukaryota, Metazoa, Chordata, Actinopteri, Salmoniformes, Salmonidae.
CAGAUGUAGAUCCCAGAUACUACAACCUUGAUAGGGUAAGGGUUAGUGUUCCCACACGGCCAUAUCUCCAUGUUACAUGGCUUAUUUAUGGAAAACAGACGGAAGACAAGAGGCGACCACCUGUACUAAUUAUCUGUCAAGAAUGCUCCAAAUACCUGUGUGAAAGCGUAACUCGGGAAGUGUAGCAGAAGUGUAGUUUCGUUGGAUGGAGGCACCCAUAGCUGUGUAGAUAAUGUGCAAGAUUGCUACAGUCUCAGCUGGCCAAGACGUGUCACGGGCGCUCCAGGGCUGUUGUGACCCAGGCCAACAUCCCGUUGUGGUUAAACGUCACUUACGACGACGACAAGAAAAAUCUCCUGGUCACCUCCAAACUGUUCAACAUGUUUGCCCAGGUGGCUACCUCACGGGGAAUAUAGAAUAUCAAUUACAUUUCCAGAUCACAGCUGCUGUUGGUUAGAAACCCUCCAUUGCCCACCGCUGCACAUGUCUUUGCGGUCAGAUUCGAAAAGGGCUGCACCUGCUCACAGUGUUCUCCCAUUCACUGACGUGAACAGCGCCAUCAAACAGAUGAGCUCAAAAGAAACCAACAUCUUUGAAGCUACGCAUUGCAAAAUGGUUCGCAGUGAUGACGUACAUCCACAUACAACACCCGUUCUGCCAGUCACGUUCUGUUAAAGGUCCCCAAAGCACACACAUCCCUGGGUCGCUCGUCUUUUCAGUUCGCUGCAGCCAGCGCC